AGGUUUUGGGACUCGGACUGGCUUCCUGGAUCCUCAGUUUGCAGACAGUCUACUGGGGACUUCACCUUGUGAUCACGGGCUCCCUCUGUUACCCAGGCUGGAGCACAGUGGUGUGAUUAUUGCUCACUGCAUCAUCAAACUCCUAGGCUCAAGCAGUCCUCCUGCCUCAGCCUCCCAAGUAACUAGGACUAUAGACAAAAGAUACACAGUAUCUACAACCCAACAAAACCACAAACCUACAACCCAG
Molecule: long non-coding RNA, 247 nt
Organism: Symphalangus syndactylus (siamang)
Lineage: Eukaryota; Metazoa; Chordata; Mammalia; Primates; Hylobatidae
Source: RefSeq, a predicted model, not a curated record